GGACUCUGGGAUCACGCCCUGAGCCAAAGAAAGACGGUUAACGACUGAGCCACCCAGGCGCCCCCAGAAAGAGAUCUUUAGAGCAUAACCUUCACUUGGGAGCAGAGGAGUGGAGGAUGAAGUGAUUUGCCAACCUCCAACAGCCAGCUCGUGACAGGCACCAAACUGCAAGUUUCUCUCCUCAUGUUUGUGGGGACGUCAGGCUCUCUGUCAGAGGCUGGGAAACUUUCUAGAUGUGAAGAAGUAACAUGAGGGGCGCCUGGGUGGCACAGCGGUUGAGCAUCUGCCUUCGGCUCAGGGCGUGAUCCUGGCGUUAUGGGAUCGAGCCCCACAUCAGGCUCCUCUGCUAUGAGCCUGCUUCUUCCUCUCCCACUCCCCCUGCUUGUGCUCCCUCUCUCACUGGCUGUUUCUAUCUCUGUCGAAUAAAUAAUAUCUUUAAAAAAAAAAAAAAAAAAGAAGUAACAUGAAGUUAGUCCAUCUGAUAGGCAAUCUGCUUAAGACCAUUGCAGACUUUUUCCAUGUGGCCUUCACCCUAAAGUCUGGGAAGAAAACAUCUACAGUGUCCUUUCUACGGAUUAGAGGAAAGAGAGAGGCACGACGUUCUAUUUUGGGUAGGAAUAUCCACGUCCGAGAGGGACGCACCGAUUUCUGCGGAUGUCAUCUGCCCGGCAAACACCCUUUCCUGGGACUCCCAGGGAACAUGAAUCUGACGUGGACCCCCCUCCCCUUCCUCCUGGAGCAAACGUCUUCACCCCAAGCCUGCCUCUCUCCACACAGCAGACAGACAACCCCAAGUCACGGGUCCCUGGAGGACACCACCGAUCCUGGGAUGUGACCAUGAGGUGACCGUGGCUGAUGCAUGGGGUCAAUGUAAUCAGAUCAAGGAUGUGGCACCAAAGCGGAUUUCUGCAGCAUUCCACCCCUGCCCUCCACCACCAGCUGCUCCAGGCACAAGCGCCACAAAGCUGCUCACGAUGUCACUGGCCCUGCCUGCUUUGCCAGUGCGGGAACCAGACUCCUGCACUGCUCCUACGUAACAAGGACUUCAGGCUGUGAGAUGGGGGUGCCUGUUCCCGGGGCUGGCUAGACUCCUCCUGGACCUGACACAGAAGCUGACAGACUUGCACGCCAUGCCUCCAGAUCUUUGAGGCCCUGGCCAAAGACUUGCCUGUGAACGCUUCUUCCCCUGCAGAGGGAUCUGGUACCCAAUCACGCACCAUCCUGCAUCUCUCUCUCGGCCUCUCCCCCCCGCCCCACUCCACCCGACAUGCCUGCCACGGUGACGGUGACACUUUGUUUGGUGCAAGACAUGAUGGGGAUGGAGGAGUUGGGGAGAGAGCACGUUAUGGGGAUCUGUGGAAAAGCCUGGCUUCCACCCAGCGGCUAUACAAGCCGGGCUGGCUGGGUCGAUGUGCUCACAGGCUGCUCUCAUAGGAAUCCCCGAAGGCAUUUAAGAAACAAAACAGAGGACCAAGGGGCAGGGAGGGAAAAAUAAAACAAGAGGAAACCAGAGAGGGAGACAAACCAUAAGAGACCCUUAAGCAUAGGAAACAAACUGAGGGCUGCUGGAGGCGAGGGUGGCGGGGAAGGGGUAAGUGGGGAUGGAAUGAGCGCUGGGUGUUAGAUAAGACUGAUGAAAUCACUGAACUCUACCUCUGAAACGAAUAACACACUGUAUGUUAAUUAAUUGAAUUUAAAUUAAUUUCAAAAAAUAAAGAGAGGACUCUGGAUGGUGCUGGGCCUGCACAGCUCCCAGUCCUUCUGGCUGGCGGGGGUCCUUCUGGCCGGCCUUCCUUCGGCUCCCUUCUCCGCAGCAGGCUCGCGCCGGGAUGAUUAGGGAUGACAGCCAACGGGAAAACCCACUGCCUUUACAGAAGCACAUCCCUGAGCGGGCACAGCACCGAAGGAGCCACUUCCUGAAGGAGACAAGGCGGAGUCAGGACUCAGGCGGGUGCCCGCUGUCGCCUCCUUGGCCCGCAGGGGGCGCUGUGCCCCCUGAAUCCGCUGGCCAAGUGGAGACCAGAACUUUUUCCUGGGCUCCCCUUGAGAUCUGGGGACAUGGGGGCGCCUGGGUGGUUCAGUCAGUUAAGGGUCUGCAUUAGGCUCAGAUUAUGAUCCCGGGGUCCUGGGAUGGGGCCCCCAUCGAGCCCCUCAUGGAGACCCACAUCUAGCCGGGCAUUGGGCUCCCUGCUCAGUGGGGAGCCUGCUUCUCCCUCUCCCUUUGCUAUUCCCCCUGCUCCUACUCUCUGUCUCUCUUUCAAAUACAUGGAUAAAUAAAAUCUUAGAAAAAAAAGAAAAAAAGAUCUCGGGACAUGGGUUUGGAAGUGUCCUGGUUACCGGCACAGGGCUGGAGGGUAAUAGCUGAGAAAGCAGACGAUUCAACCAGUGUAAUUACAGCCUCUCUUUCAGAUUACAGAUUUCUGAGUUUCGCCAUAACGUUCGUGCUGUUCAGCUGCUCUUAGUAUCGAACUGACCACCUUCGGAUUUGCAUUCCAGCACGCAGGUAGGAAGAAAAGGAAGUAGGAUAUCUCCGAGCGCAUACUUACGCUGUCAGCUUGACAGUUCGGCUGUACUGGAAAAGAGUUGAUUUCAUCUUGUAACCCAUUAUACACACGACCCACAUUUUAUUUUAAGUGCGCUCCAUGAGCAACGGCCCAGCAUGCUUUACCCGCUGAGCCAGCCUGGUGCCCCCACACAAGCCAUUUCCGGAGGAGGUUUUUCUACUCACAAGGCAGCAUCCAUAUGUGACUUCUUUCUUUACCCUGUGGCUCCACCGAAAAGGAGUGGAGGCUCUGAAGCAAGGAAACUCGACUCCAGGGCAUGGACUGACUGGCCAGGUGACCAUGGACUAAACUGGUGUGGACAGUUUACCGUCCUGGAAUAAUGGUGACAAAACUGGAUACUCUGACUUUCAUUUCCCCCACGAUGCCAGGAGCUGUAGUUUAUUGUCUUCCUUUGUGACCCUUAGCUUGCUCUAAAAGUGCUUUCUAGAAAUCUUUAAUGGGCCCUUGCGGUAAGUCCUGUUGGCGCCAAGGAUUUUUUGUAGACUCCCAUUUUCAGGAUGGGAAGAUUCCCUUCCCUUCUGUCCUGGUCUCCACCCGUGAAUGGAUUGUGCCUUUUAUUGGCUAAUUUUUCUGCAUCUAAUGAUACAGUCAUGUGGUAUUUCUCUCCUAAUCGGUUAAUGGUGUGGGAUUGUAUAAAAUUUCUGAACAGAAGCGACUCCAUUUUGAAGCUGCAUUUUCCUUUUCAACUAAUGAACUCUUGAGCUGGGCCAGAAAUGCAGUAGUUUUACAAGCAGUUGGUCAUAAAAUUUCAACAGGGCAACUGGCAUUAGGAUCUCGUGAGGACAGUAAAGUUAAUUAAUACAUACCAGGGGCAAUUUCAUUUGAUAGCACCAAUAAAGUAAUCAAUAAGGUACUAAUGAGAAGCGGCUCAACCGAUUAGCACCAAAUUAUCAGGGUUUUUUAAUUUUUUCCUUCUCUUCUUUAUCUAAAUCACAUAAUUACCCCUUCCUUCUUUUUCAUAAAAACCUCUAGCUCUCCCCACAUGAAGGGACACUUUUCUGGUUAUUCUGGAGUCUGUGCUCCCCGAAUUGUAACUCUGGGACCCCAAAUAAAAACCUUUGUUCUUUUUUCAGUUUCGCCUUCUUUUUUUUUUUUUUUAAGAUUUAUUUAUUUAUUUAUUUAUUCAACAGAGAUAGAGACAGCCAGUGAGAGAGGGAACACAAGCAGGGGGGAGUGGGAGAGGAAGAAGCAGGCUCUCAGCAGAGGAGCCUGAUGUGGGGCUCGAUCCCGUAACGCCGGGAUCACGCCCUGAGCCGAAGGCAGAAGCUUAACCGCUGUGCCACCCAGGCACCCCUCGCCUUCUUUUCUUGGUUAACAAUGGGGUGACUUGCAUUAAUUGAAUUUAGAGUACUA
This is a long non-coding RNA of Ailuropoda melanoleuca (giant panda), 3917 nucleotides long. Lineage: Eukaryota; Metazoa; Chordata; Mammalia; Carnivora; Ursidae. The record is from Ensembl.